RNAcentral lists this ribosomal RNA (306 nucleotides) under uncultured bacterium. RNAcentral describes it as "partial 16S ribosomal RNA". It matches the Rfam family "Bacterial small subunit ribosomal RNA", at positions 505 to 807 of the family's 1533-position model. The record is from RNAcentral.
GACAGCAGUAGCCACGGGAACACGGAGGGUGCAAGCGUUAAUCGGAAUUACUGGGCGUAAAGCGCACGCAGGCGGUCUGACAAGUCAGAUGUGAAAUCCCCGGGCUUAACCUGGGAACUGCAUUUGAAACUGUCAGGCUGGAGUCUUGUAGAGGGGGGUGGAAUUCCAGGUGUAGCGGUGAAAUGCGUAGAGAUCUGGAGGAAUACCGGUGGCGAAGGCGGCCCCCUGGACAAAGACUGACGCUCAGGUGCGAAAGCGUGGGGAGCAAACAGGAUUAGAUACCCCUGUAGUCCCUGUCUCUUAUAC